This 852-nucleotide ribosomal RNA is filed under the name uncultured Actinomycetes bacterium. RNAcentral's name for it is "bacterial SSU rRNA". It matches the Rfam family "Bacterial small subunit ribosomal RNA", at positions 11 to 894 of the family's 1533-position model. The record is from RNAcentral. Lineage: Bacteria; Bacillati; Actinomycetota; Actinomycetes.
GUUUGAUCCUGGCUCAGAAUCAACGCUGGCGGCGUGCCUAACACAUGCAAGUCGCACGAGAAAGGGACUUCGGUCCUGAGUACAGUGGCGCACGGGUGAGUAACACGUGAAUCAUCUACCUCCGAGUGGGGAAUAACUGAGAGAAAUCUUAGCUAAUACCGCAUAACACUUACGAGUCAAAGCAGCAAUGCGCUUGGAGAGGAGUUCGCGGCAGAUUAGUUAGUUGGCGGGGUAAUGGCCCACCAAGACGAUGAUCUGUAUCCGGCCUGAGAGGGCGCACGGACACACUGGAACUGAAACACGGUCCAGACUCCUACGGGAGGCAGCAGUGGGGAAUUUUGCGCAAUGGGGGAAACCCUGACGCAGCAACGCCGCGUGGAGGAUGAAAUCCCUUGGGAUGUAAACUCCUUUCGAUCGGGAAGAUAAUGACGGUACCGAGAGAAGAAGCCCCGGCUAACUUCGUGCCAGCAGCCGCGGUAAUACGAGGGGGGCAAGCGUUGUUCGGAAUUAUUGGGCGUAAAGGGUGCGUAGGCGGUUUGAUAAGUCACAUGUGAAAUCUUCGGGCUCAACCCGAAGUCUGCAUGCGAAACUGUCGGGCUUGAGUAUGGGAGAGGUGAGUGGAAUUUCCGGUGUAGCGGUGAAAUGCGUAGAUAUCGGAAGGAACACCUGUGGCGAAAGCGGCUCACUGGACCAUAACUGACGCUGAUGCACGAAAGCUAGGGGAGCAAACAGGAUUAGAUACCCUGGUAGUCCUAGCCCUAAACGAUGAUUGCUUGAUGUGGUGGGUACCCAAUCCCGCCGUGUCGAAGCUAACGCGAUAAGCAAUCCGCCUGGGGAGUACGGUCGCAAGGC